CCCUUAGAUGUUCUGGGCCGCACGCGUGCUACACUGAGUGGAUCAGCGGGUCAGGUUGCGCGAAAGUGUUUCCUAAUCUUGAAAUCCGCUCGUGAUGGGGAUUGACGGUUGCAAUUUUCCGUCAUGAACGAGGAAUACCUUGUAAGCGCGGGUCAUCAUCCCGCGCUGAAUACGUCCCUGCCCUUUGUACACACCGCCCGUCGCUCCUACCGAUUGAGUGGCCCGGUGAGGCUUUGGGAUCUGAGCAAAGAGAGCGUUUCGCUCGUUUUGCUCGGAAAACUCAGUCGAACCUUAUCAUUUAGAGGAAGGAGAAGUCGUAACA
RNAcentral lists this ribosomal RNA (322 nucleotides) under uncultured eukaryote. RNAcentral describes it as "partial 18S ribosomal RNA". It matches the Rfam family "Eukaryotic small subunit ribosomal RNA", at positions 1470 to 1796 of the family's 1831-position model. The record is from RNAcentral.